RNAcentral lists this long non-coding RNA (1637 nucleotides) under Homo sapiens (human). Its description in RNAcentral is "HSALNT0375636". Lineage: Eukaryota; Metazoa; Chordata; Mammalia; Primates; Hominidae. The record is from RNAcentral.
AAAAGCGACUGAGUCCUUGAGUCUCCUGGGAUGUUCAUAUGAAUCCCCUUGAAGCUUUAAUUUGAUAAGACCUCAGUGGAGACUGCUGAACCCCUGGGAUUUAACAUCAUAUAUUAUUCAUUGUUGCUGUUGCCACAGACGUGCUGAUUUUGCCCCUGCUGAGCAAGGCACUUCUGCACAUGGGAACUUGAUGGCUAACCACACUGCAUGUUCUUCAGGCAGGGCCUAUCCCAGAACGUUCCAAGCUGUCUGCUAGCAAGUCUGCAUUAACUCCCUCAAUGCUGCAUGCACGGUGUCCCUGAGUCCUUCACCACCCGCCCCGCCACCAGAGCCAGUCUUUUUAAGAAUUUUGCCUGGGCUGUGUUUUUCAAAGUGCCUCUCUCUAGUGUGCAUCUCUUCUUAAUCACAGAAAGCAGAUCUGAGAGCUUCUAAUGCACUUCUCUAUUACUUCAAGAACACUGUGUAUAAUAAUAAACUCUACAGAAAUAAACCAAAUCACAAGAAGCUUUCAGGUCUGGAGGCUGACAUUUCUCAAGACAGAUGCAAAAACCCAGGCCCAGAGAGAUGAAGAAACCUGGCUAAGCUCCUUGAAGCUAGAAAUGGCCUACCUGUAGAAUCUGUCUUCACUUCAAAGUCAGUGGAGUGCACAGUUUUAUUGUCGUGUUGAACUGAACAUGUCACUGAAUUUGAAUCUUCAUAUUUACCAAGCUUGACAGCAUUGUACUUCCCACUGGGAGAGAUGACAAUAGCAGGAUCAAACUCUGUUAUCUUCUUGGAUGACACGAGAUUUAUUCUUAUAUCCUUGGGGUAGAAUUCCUUCACCAGACAAGCGACAUUUGUUCCAUUUUUCAUGACAAAAACGGAUGGUUUGGUAUGAGGCUGACUUCCUGCAAAUAUAAUCAACUUAUUAGAAUCGAGGGUCUGAGAAGGACUGCAUAACUGGCUCAGAGGUUCUGAGGAUGGCAGUGUUGGGGUCCCGGAAGGGUGCCAUCCCUUCCAGAUCUGCUGGAAAGGGUGGAAAGGGAUCUGCUGAAGGUAGGUGGUACAUGUUUCUGCCUUUAGGUGAAUACUCAUUCUUCUGUAGGGGACUGACUACUGUAUAGUUUCCUUUGAGUCUUUAAUCAGAGGAUAACAAUGAUCAUUUUCAGGAAGUCCUUAAAGAAAUAAAACCAAUUGAAGCCCGUUCAUUCUUGUUUUAAUCUAAGAGGAACUGUGGAAUGUUGGUCCCAGGAUUGGCUUCCCUCCUGGCCUUCUCUUCUUUUGUGCCUCACUUUGGACUACCACCCUGUACAUGCAUACUUUUCUUUCCUUAAGACCACAAGUCUUGAAGCUUUGAGAGAGGUAGUGAUGAUUCUUUCACACAGUGCCUCACUGAAGUUUUUGAAUUGUGAUAAAUGUUGUGUCCAUGGGGACUUAAAUUCUUAGGCUAUCUUCAAAUAACUGUUAAAGAAAGAGCCCUGUUAAUACCUGAAACCAAGAAACACAACCAACCUGUGAAUGAUGAUCAAGAUACAUUUUUCAAUCCUAAAUUUAAUGCUGACUUUUAAUAUUAAUUGCUCCUGUAAAUUUGGCCCUUAGUAUUUGAAACUUAGGUGAAUUUUGCUUCUUGAUAUCAAAUGAAAAAUACAUUGAAUUCC